Long non-coding RNA from Sciurus carolinensis (gray squirrel), 941 nucleotides. RefSeq lists it as uncharacterized. Lineage: Eukaryota; Metazoa; Chordata; Mammalia; Rodentia; Sciuridae. The transcript has 4 exons. The record is from RefSeq and is a predicted model, not a curated record.
CGCCCGCCCGGCGCCCUCGGGCUGGAAGGCUGCAGCCCCUGCCCGGCGGGCCCGGCGGGAGCGGGCAGGAGCGUGGGCGGGUGCGCCGGGACUGCUGGACGGCCGGGUCCAGCCUGCGGGGUCUACCUCCUAGAAAAUUAUUCGAAGGAACAUGAGAAAAAGCCAGCAGGUCUGAGGCAUAGAAUGGCAGUUGAACAAACACCUGUGUGGUCAAGAUCACCCUUCAGAGAAUGCCACAUACAUGAUGCCUAUGGGGCAGCAUCCAUCCAUCCACCCACAAGUAUUUAGUGCCACAGUGCACUAAGUGACUAAGGAGGGCAGCAGUGACUGGGCAGCCUACAGAUUAAGAGCCGCAUCUGUCAGAUGUGCCUGAUGAUGGGGAGGAAGCGACCGGAGCCGUGAGCCACCUCCCGUUUACAACCCAUGCAUCCCUACUCACAUCUAGCUGUUGGGAAAAAACUCGCACUGUUGUGUUGGCUACCAGACAGCUAUCGUGCUGCCGCGGCCUUUUUGAAUUAAUGCUGCCAAGUGGAGGCUCAUGGCUGAGUCCAGCCUGUCUCCUUCCUUAAUGAUUUAGAGUGGACAUUCUAGAGCAAAGGAUUCCAGAGAACUGUGUCCUUCCUUCCUUCCUUCCUUCCCUUCCUGUCUGCCUCCUGGGGACUGAACCCAGCCCCACCCCCUGCAUGCUAGGCAAGGCUCUACCACUGAGCCUCCUCCCCGGCCCUUUUUAAAAUUUUUAUUUUGAGGGGUGGGAAAGAUGGUGGACAGAGAAAGACAUCAACCCUCUGCAUGUGUAUGAUGGCACCAAUGGUGCGACUACAUGGUGUACCACCAGUUGUACCCCAUUUGUGUACAAUGAAUCAAAAUGCAUUCUGGGCUGGGGAGAUAACUCAGUUGGGUAGAGUGCUUGCCUUGCAAGCACAAGGCCCUGGAUUCAAACC